This 497-nucleotide ribosomal RNA is filed under the name uncultured bacterium. RNAcentral's name for it is "partial 16S ribosomal RNA". It matches the Rfam family "Bacterial small subunit ribosomal RNA", at positions 28 to 507 of the family's 1533-position model. The record is from RNAcentral.
GAUGAACGCUGGCGGCGUGCCUAAUACAUGCAAGUCGAGCGAACAGACGAGGAGCUUGCUCCUCUGACGUUAGCGGCGGACGGGGGAGUAACACGUGGAUAACCUACCUAUAAGACUGGGAUAACUUCGGGAAACCGGAGCUAAUACCGGAUAACAUGUUGAACCGCAUGGUUCAACAGUGAAAGACGGUUUUGCUGUCACUUAUAGAUGGAUCCGCGUCGCAUUAGCUAGUUGGUAAGGUAACGGCUUACCAAGGCAACGAUGCGUAGCCGACCUGAGAGGGUGAUCGGCCACACUGGAACUGAGACACGGUCCAGACUCCUACGGGAGGCAGCAGUAGGGAAUCUUCCGCAAUGGGCGAAAGCCUGACGGAGCAACGCCGCGUGAGUGAAGAAGGUCUUCGGAUCGUAAAACUCUGUUAUUAGGGAAGAACAAAUGUGUAAGUAACUAUGCACGUCUUGACGGUACCUAAUCAGAAAGCCACGGCUAACUACGUG